RNAcentral lists this ribosomal RNA (781 nucleotides) under uncultured Isochrysis. RNAcentral's name for it is "partial Bacterial large subunit ribosomal RNA". It matches the Rfam family "Bacterial large subunit ribosomal RNA", at positions 187 to 1024 of the family's 2925-position model. Lineage: Eukaryota; Haptophyta; Isochrysidales. The record is from RNAcentral.
GGGGAACUGAAACAUCUAAGUACCCGGAGGAAAGGAAAUCAACAGAUACUCCGCUAGUAGUGGCGAGCGAACGCGGACCAGCCGAGCCUUGAGGAUGACCAGAACAGACUGGAAAGUCUGGCCAGAGCGGGUGACAGCCCCGUAUGGGAAGUCUGAUGGGACGCAUUAAGUAGGGCGGGACACGUGAAAUCCUGUCUGAAGAUCGGGGGACCACCCUCGAAGGCUAAGUACUCCUUACUGACCGAUAGCGAACCAGUACCGUGAGGGAAAGGUGAAAAGCACCCCGACGAGGGGAGUGAAACAGUUUCUGAAACCGGACGCCUACAAGCAGUCGGAGCAUCCUUGAGAUGUGACGGCGUACCUUUUGUAUAAUGGGUCAACGACUUGGUCUGUCUGGCAAGCUUAAGCCGUUAGGUGUAGGCGCAGCGAAAGCGAGUCUUAAAAGGGCGCAUGAGUCAGACGGAUCAGACCCGAAACCGAGUGAUCUAGGCAUGAGCAGGAUGAAGGUUGGGUAACACCAACUGGAGGUCCGAACCCACACCUGUUGAAAAAGGUCGGGAUGACUUGUGCCUAGGGGUGAAAGGCCAAUCAAACUCGGAGAUAGCUGGUUCUCCGCGAAAGCUAUUUAGGUAGCGCCUCGGACGUAUCCCUCGGGGGGUAGAGCACUGCAUGGAUGAUGGGGGCCCACAGCCUUACUGAGUCUAAGCAAACUCCGAAUACCCGAGAGGACUAUCCGGGAGACACACGGCGGGUGCUAACGUCCGUCGUGGAGAGGGAAACA